UUGGAAUCGAUGACGAGAACAAGUAAGCUGGGAUGCGGACCGCAGAGAGUCGACGGCCGGUGCGAGUCGAUGUCUGGAUCAGCUGAAUAUCCUCUCCGAGAUGCCGCGCUGAACCCUGUGCCGCCUGGCGGCACCCAGUAAGCGCGGACGGCUCAUCCGCCGUUACCCGGAUGCGCGGCAAUGCCGCGGCCAAGCGCCGUUAGAAGCGGAUUCGGCAAGCGAAUCCGGACUUUCGCGGAACAAGGGUGGUACCACGGUAACUCUCGUCCCUUUU
Molecule: non-coding RNA, 274 nt
Filed under: Paenibacillus dendritiformis
Lineage: Bacteria; Bacillati; Bacillota; Bacilli; Caryophanales; Paenibacillaceae
Description: T-box sequence
Rfam family: T-box leader
About the family: Uncharged tRNA acts as the effector for transcription antitermination of genes in the T-box leader family. T-boxes are found upstream of many aminoacyl-tRNA synthetase genes and some amino acid biosynthetic genes usually in Gram-positive bacteria. The anticodon of a specific tRNA base pairs to a specifier sequence within the T-box motif, and the NCCA acceptor tail of the tRNA base pairs to a conserved bulge in the T-box antiterminator hairpin.
Source: RNAcentral